GCAAACUUGGUCAUUUAGAGGAAGUAAAAGUCGUAACAAGGUUUCCGUAGGUGAACCUGCGGAAGGAUCAUUAAAGGGAACGCUGGUCCAACCAGCAUCCUCCAACCCAAUGUGUACCCGCCUUGUUGCCUCGGCGUGCCUGCGUCGUCCGUGGCGCUGCCGGCUCCGGCUGGAUAGCGCACGCCGGAGGAAUUUCAAACUCCAGCUUUAACGAGUGCAGUCUGAGCUUUAAUCAAAUAAGUUAAAACUUUCAACAACGGAUCUCUUGGUUCUGGCAUCGAUGAAGAACGCCAGC
Molecule: unclassified non-coding RNA, 295 nt
Filed under: uncultured fungus
Lineage: Eukaryota; Fungi
Description: partial contains small subunit ribosomal RNA, internal transcribed spacer 1, and 5.8S ribosomal RNA
Rfam family: Eukaryotic small subunit ribosomal RNA (bases 1-73)
Source: RNAcentral